CGACGUAGGUAACCUGCUUUGUAGCGGGGGAUAACUAUUGGAAACGAUAGCUAAUACCGCAUAACAAUGGAUGACCCAUGUCAUUUAUUUGAAAGGGGCAAAUGCUCCACUACAAGAUGGACCUGCGUUGUAUUAGCUAGUAGGUGAGGUAACGGCUCACCUAGGCGACGAUACAUAGCCGACCUGAGAGGGUGAUCGGCCACACUGGGACUGAGACACGGCCCAG
RNAcentral lists this ribosomal RNA (226 nucleotides) under uncultured bacterium. Its description in RNAcentral is "partial 16S ribosomal RNA". It matches the Rfam family "Bacterial small subunit ribosomal RNA", at positions 113 to 334 of the family's 1533-position model. The record is from RNAcentral.